This is a long non-coding RNA of Oncorhynchus tshawytscha (Chinook salmon), 944 nucleotides long. NCBI's taxonomy places the organism in Eukaryota, Metazoa, Chordata, Actinopteri, Salmoniformes, Salmonidae. The record is from Ensembl.
UGUUAACCCAUUUCCCUCACACCUUCCUAACUUAAUCUGCCUUUAAACCCAUUUCCCUCACACCUUCCUAACUUAAUCUGCCUGUUAACCCAUUUCCCUCACACCUUCCUAACUUAAUCUGCCUUUAAACCCAUUUCCCUCACACCUUCCUAACUUAAUCUGCCUUUAAACCCAUUUCCCUCACACCUUCCUAACUUAAUCUGCCUUUAAACCCAUUUCCCUCACACCUUCCUAACUUAAUCUGCCUUUAAACCCAUUUCCCUCACACCUACCUAAGAGGUUGAUUUAAUGUAGCACAACAGUGUAUUGAUGAGUUGAAGAGGUUGAUUUAAUGUAGCACAACAGUGUAUUGAUGAGUUGAAGAGGUUGAUUUAAUGUAGCACAACAGUGUAUUGAUGAGUUUGUGUUAUGCCUGUUUAUCAGCAGUAAAUCAUUUGACCACACGCCUUGUGGCUUGAUAUUAUUCUCUUUUAUGUUUAACUUUCUAUAACUAAACUGUUAUGGGACUGUUCUAUUGACUGUAACUCUAAUACUAAUCACAUGUAUUGUAAAGGGAAAUGACAACAUGCUAUGAGUUGCAGCCUUUAGAAUAAUGACAACAUGCAAUGAGUUGCAGUCUUUAGAAUAAUGACAACAUGCAAUGAGUUGCAGUCUUUAGAAUAAUGUAAAACAUGUCCUUGACUCUGUCAAGUUGAUGAACGAAAGUUAGCCUGAAGACAAGAUUACAUUUACAAUAAUCUGAUGAGUGACAAUAUUAGGCCUUUCAGUUGUCAUCUAGUACAUGAAGAGAUGGGAGCAUCUAGUACAUGAAGAGAUGGGAGCAUCUAGUACAUGAAGAGAUGGGAGCAUCUAGAACAUAAAGAGAUGGGAGCAUCUAGUACAUGAAGAGAUGGGAGCAUCUAGUACAUGAAGAGAUGGGAGCAUCUAGUACAUGAAGAGAUGGG